GUCCACCUUGAUGGCGUAGUGUAGCACCGCAUUAAGGCGUGACGUGAGCGUUGGACGCGAACGUAGUAGCCCUAUAUAGACCCAUGAAUUUAUAUAGGGAGUAUGGACGAGUGUAAAUACAUACAUAUAUUAUAGAGUCUGAGAGGCUCGAUAUUUUAUGAGAUAAAAGUUUAUCGCUUGCGGCAUGCAUUCGAUUUUUCCUUAGAAAUUAAUUUGGGGAAACAUAAAUAUUUUAUUUAUUAUUUUAUUUUUGUCCACUCACUCUGACGUUAUUAAAUGUUUUCCCCUGGGCCCUUCGUUUUAAAUUGCCCAGUCUGCAGAGUUCGGGUUGGAUCUAGUAGGAGACGAGGCAUAGUCACCCGCAUUUCUGCCAGUUUUCGCCAGUAGGUUACCUGUUCAACCUACUCGUGUUUUCUUGCUUCCGCUUGUGUUUAGUAGCUCUGAAUACUUUAGAAUUUUUGUAUAUUAUGGGAUGUUCAGAAGUGUUAAAUUAAGAGUGUAAUAUAAAAUUUUUCGAGUUAGGGUUGUCCAUCUGCAAGGGAGAUUUUCUUAAUCUUUUCAGUAAAUUUUCCUUGGAGGUGGUCCCCGCACGACUUACUCUGGGUUUCAGGGUGAAAUUCGGGGUGGGUCGUGUCAUAAGCUGGCGCACAGGUGUGCAAUUCAGAGCUUGGCUGGCAAUUGGGAUCUCCUCUCCUUGGUUGUGGCUUGGGCCUUGUUAGACCUAGCCUGGGGUGGUAAUAAUUAUUUUACUGUUUUAUUUAUUUACUUGUCAUAGCAGCCUGACUAGUUUCUAGAUCAGGCAAUCUUUCUGCUACAAUUUAUCAAUAUGUAAUUACCAACAUAAAUUCCCAAAAUACCAGAUCAAGAACCCUAGAUAUUUGCAUAUUCAUAUUUAUGUACAAUUAUCAGUUUAGAUACCAAAUUCUUAUACAAUUACGAAGCAAAAUCACAAGCAAAGUAAGGUUUCUACAUUUACCCAGUUAAAAAAUCCCAAAAUUUCUAGUAAUUUUGUAGUUGAUCAUCCUCAAUUUCUCAGUUCCUUGAUGAAAUCUCACCGUAUUGCCUUAAGUGAAUUGCCUUAGAGCAAUUGCACCCAUGAAUGGAAGACAAUUGCUGAUUUGCCAAUCAAAUUGGUACUGCUUAUCCACUAUUCAUAUAAAAUUGACAAUUGCCUCUCUAUUGUCAAUGUACCAAUUGAAGGCAAUUUGCCUGCUAAUCUACUAUUCACUUUUGAAAUUUGAAUAAAUCAUUAUUUCAAAAGGUAAAAUUUAUAAUUUGUUAAUUAAUAAUGAGAUUGAUCGGACACAUGGUUAAAUGCGCCCAUGAAUCGCUUUAUUGAAUUUGCUCAUGGUCAUGCCAAUUGUAAUGAGAUACCCUUAUGGUUGGAAGAAAAUUGGGAGGAAAUGGAUAAUAAAUUGAUGGAAGAAGAAGAUGGGAAGGUAAAACUUUAGAAAAUAUUGGUAUAAAUUAUAUGGAGUAAGGUAUUCAAUUAUAUAAUUUUUAGAAAGAAACAAAUUCAGAUUUUUUUUAAUCCAAAAAAUUGUUAACCAUUGGUAUUUAAUUAUAGCCAUUAAAUCUCAAUCUGAAGGCUAUAAUCAGUCAAUCAUAAAACUUGUAGGUUGAAAACAUGUGAAAGCAGAGGCGGAGCCCACAAAUUGGUUGGGCAAAAUGAUGGGCAAAAAUCAGCAAAGGAAUUACCCAAGCAAUUAAUAUUCACCUCGGGUCCACGAAUUGGUCAUGCAAUUUAUUAUCGGUGCAUUAAUGUUUUGGUUGAAUGUUGGUGGGUCCUAUCAAUUGGUCACCCAAUGACCCAAUCAGCUCACCGGUGCAAUUGCUCUUAGAUGAAGGCCGACGAAGUGAGUCAGACAACGAUGCCUAAAGUCCAACGACGUUUUCAAGUCAUCGUAUCUGAUUCGAUUCGAUGUGGAUUUGAUUCUUUGAGGUCACCAUUAAGAGACGAUAGUUAAGCUUUUAGGUUUUAGUUUAACUUUGUGCUUGUGUCUACAAUAAUAAUGUCUACUGAAUAGAAAUAACCAAUAGAAGGUUGUUAAUGUAAUUUCCUAUUUCUUUAAAAAUUAUUAGAGGAAAUUUUUGUGUUUUUUUUUUUUAAAUGGACACCAAGUAACAUACUCGGGCUUUCAUGUUGUAGGUUAUUCAGGUUUUGACAGGCUGGAACUGGACCAGCUGUUAACUGGGACCAAACCAGACCAGACCUGUAAAAAGCUAACCGUGAGAAAACCCAGCCCAGACCAGCCGAUUUAGGUCGGUUCUGCCGGGUUUUUUCUUUUAUGUGGUGUUAUGCCCAAUCCUAGAUCAGUAGAUCUAUCAUACGCAUGCGACCCUCGACAUAAAUUUAGGCAACCGCUCAUCUGGUUUAAUCCGCAUAUAUUUCACACAUAUACUCAAUUAAUUUACAUGUAUACCAUGAGCAACUAAAAACUUUGCUCAAAACAAAAUUAGGCACAACAAGAAGCAACAAAACAGAAAUAAACACAUUCUGUUGAGUGACUUAUCAGCCUGCAUUACAUGCCUUCUCACCCUCGGACUAGUGCUGCCAGUAAGAUUAUACGAAUUCGGGUAAGUGUAAACAUUUGUUAUCGAGUUACCAAACACCCUAGCAUACACCAUUUCACCAAACAUGCCGACCAUCGGAUUGAAGACUUGUGUUGAUGUAUCACCAGGACUAUGCAUUGGUGAAGCUGCUGUAUAGCUACCUCCUAAAGGGCUGUUUAUUUGGGAUUGAUAAGGAUGACUUCGCUGAAUACUAUAAGGGCUGGUACUUGGGGUUCGUGGUGUGUCAACCGCGCAAGGAGCGAGAGGUCUUUUUGGAAUGACUAUACCAAGAUGGGGAGGCUUGCCUUUAGAUGGCUUUGUGGGCUUUGUUGUUUGACCACGACCAUAAAGUGGGACUAGAGAGGAUUCAGAGACUUCAGUUUUGCAAACAGGGCACUGUGGCUGUUUUUGGUCCUCUUGGCUUUCCGAAGAAGGGGUCUGGAAUUGAAUCCACUUGUAUAUGCAAGGCCAGCAGUAUAAAUGACCACAGAGGGUAACCACCGGAUCGCGCACAGAGUCUAAGCAAAUGCUGCAGUCGAAGUUAGCACAUGACUUGUUUUCAGUAUCUGGGACUUCAGAAACAGGAUUCCAUUUUCCGAAGGAACAUUUAGCGUCUCCACUGGAAUUAGACUGGACCACAGCAUCUUCAAAGUAUUGCUCUGUUGCCAUCUUAACGGCUUGGGAUAGAUGAUUCUUGAGUUGCUUAAAUCUGAAACAUGGUAAAGAAAAAAGGGUAAAAUUAACGUAACAUGAUGGAGGGAUCUAUACCACAUUCAAAGUAAACAAACAGAACCGACACCAAAAUAUUAUACAAAGGCAUAAUUGCCAAUUUGCUACCCUAGAAUUCACCUUGGUGUCAAUUUGCUACCCUAGUUUUUAUUUCUGCCAAUUUGCUACCCUAGAAUUCACCUUGGUGUCAAUUUGCUACCCUAACUUUUAUUUCUGCCAAUUUGCUACCCUUAUGUCAAACUUUUGACUCUAGAUAAUCAAUAUUAACCGAUUUGACAUCAAUGUUUGGACGGAGAAAUAGAUCAAUUUAUAUGACAAAAGACAGUAAAUUGGCUAAUUUUAGAAACCUAGGGUAGCAAUUUGGCAGAAAUAAAAGCUAAGGUAGCAAAUCGGCUAAUUUUGUGAAACUAGGGUAGCAAAUUGGCAGAAAUAAAAACUAGGGUAGCAAAUUGACACUUAGGUGAAUCCUAGGGUAGCAAAUUGGCAAUUAAGCCUUAUACAAAAGUUAAACAAAAAAAUAGAUGAGAUGAUUAGAUUUAUCAAUUAUAAUCUGUCCUUCUAGGAAGACUAGAACAAGGUUUUCCAUUCUCGAUCUAACGGGGAUACUGGCCCCCAAGUAAGUUUUUGAAACUAUUGAAUAUCAAGCUUGGACUACAAAUAUUAAUUUUGCAAUCAAACUUGUUACAAUCAGAAAAUCCCCACUCAAGUCUAUUUCAGAUGAAUCUAAGGACGCUUGACAGAUAUGGAUUAGGUGAGAAUUAGGCAGAGCAAGUUACAAAAGUUUAUAUGUUCAACUUCCAAAACAUGCGUCUUGCAGUGUCAAAAGGAUAGAAACCUAAAAGUAUUACUUCUUCUUCUAGAAGACCAUCAAAUAUGAAAUAUACACUCUAAAAGACAUCCAGUCAGCAUCAAAUUGAAAAUCAUACACUCUUUCACCUUAUUUAGUUUUUACUUUUGCAAAACGAACAUUAAGACUACAAUUCAAUCAUCAUAUAAAAGGAGACACCAGAAACUGCAAUAAUUUUGAGCAAGAUGUGCGACAUCGUUCGUUCCAAGAACACCAAAAACCCGACCCUCUUCGAUUCUCAGAAUCCAAGAUUCCCGAAACCAAGAUACGAAGGAAGAAAGCCCAGCCAAAGGGCAAUAUUCAAAUACAUCAAAAAAAAAACUAAAAAAGACAUAUGGGUGUGAGCUAGAGAAAAAGUUGAUGUUGAAUGCAUACCAGUAAGAGUAGAGAAGUGGGUGUUGGCUUUUCUUUGAGGAGGCGCAAAUAAGAGCGUUAUGGCAGAAGCUUCAAUGGCGGAGCAGGAGAAGGAGAGCGCUGAGAAGGGAAGAGAAGGGAAGGAAGGAAAGUAUGAGAGGAAAGAGGAACGGGGUAGCAAUAUAUAUAGAGACAAAACAUAUCACGUCUCGGAAGAAUAGAAUUUGUUAUUAAAUUUCAUAGAAAUGAUAAAUCCAGGAGCCACUUUGCUUCUCUUGUAGUCUUCUUUGAUUCAUGAUAAGUUUCAAUGCCACCCUCGAUACGUGGCAUCCAUCAUCGAUCAAAAGUCACUUAAUUUCAAUCCAUGUUUCAUUCUCACAAAACAAAAACAAACAAAAAAACAAAAAAAUCGAUCAAAAAUAGAAGAAGAGAGAAAUAAAAAUUAAAAAAAAAAAAAGGUUAAUCCAUGUUCUCUUAGUUUUAGAAAUUUUACCUUCAGAAUUUUUCAACUUCGUCAACAGUGUCCAUUGAUAAGAUUUCGUCCAAUUUAGACAUUAAAGGUUAACAUGAAUCUUUAACAAACUUAAAAUGAGUAUUUGGUUGUAAAAUAAUUGGAAACAAAUCACCUAUACCCAAAUUGUAUGUGCCCAAUAUGUGUCAUCAAUUAAAAUCUGACACAUAGAAUUCCACUUGAUACAAAACUAACAGAAGUCUAACUCUGUUAUAUUUGUAAAUUCAAUUUUUUAUUAAAGAAAAAUAAUUUCUCCAAAUCUCCACGUUCUUCUCUUCUUCCCUUCUACUUUUCUUCUUCAUUGAAUCGUCUGGGAUCUUUUUUCUAAGAUCUUCUUUUUGACUCUAACUGCGAUCAAAACCUUAAAAUAUUUUGAACUGAUAUUUGAUAACACCGAAAUCUCUUUAAUAUUCUUUUAGUUUGUUAAUCAGACAAAGUAGUAAGAAUCUGGGUUCCCAUCCUUGGUUAAUCCGGAAGAAUGAAACAUCACCAAGCGAAUCCUAAAUUCAGAACAAAGUAAUGAAAACAAACAGUGGAAUCAAGAAUGCCAUUUUCUAAUUCACAUCAAACAUACACAGAUUCAGAGAACAUGAAACAAACCCAUAAACAAAUUGUGUCUUCUCUGAUGCCAUAGAAAUCACAAGGAGCAGUUGAUCACAUUGACAAUAGCAAGAGUAAAAUCAAAUUUCCAGACAACCCAAGUGAGAAUAAUACGUAAUAAUCAAAACCCAUACACCGAAUUGACGAAAACAAACGAUCUUGAUAGCUGAAAUUGCAAUCAAUGUAGGAAAAUGAAAGACUACAGAGAAGAACCCAGAUCUCAAUCGAUGUUAAGAGAAGAAGUGCAGAACAGGGAAGAAGAGGAGAGGAGGAAGAAGAAAAGACGUGAAGAUUGGGAGAAUUUUCUUCUUUUUAUUUUUUUAAAGAUUUAAAUGAGGUUAACAAAGUUAGGACUUCUGUUAGUUUUGUAUCAAGUGGAAUUCCAUGUGUCAGAUUUUAAUUGAUGGCACAUAUUGGGCACAUGCAACUUGGGUACAGCUGAUUUGCUUCCAAAAUAAUUGUUUUAGCCCAUAAAAGUCAAAAUUAAUGUUUAAGAGAAAUUUUAAAUACACACCCUUAAUAUCUUAAUACACACCCCUUACUUAAUACACUACCUAUUAAGUUUUUCAUUUCAGUAUUAUACUUAAUACACAUCCCAAACUGUCUAAAAUACCCUUAAUUUAUGAAAUAUUCCGUUAUUUAAUAUAAUUAAUAUAUAUUUACUAUUUGGUACCUCUUUUUACAUAUUAUUUCGUCUAAUUUUUGCUAGAAAUUUUUGGUUAUCAUCGUUCAAUUUAUAAUCAAAUGAUUAUUGUUAUAUCUCAACUCUAAAUCAUCAAUACAGGUUUUCAAAAUUCACAAGAGCACAACUGUAGAAGUACAGUAGCUAUUAAACAUAGAUAGCUAGUUAUUCGAUAAAACAUGUCAUGAUAAAGAUGCAGUAUUUGACAAUAUGAUAUGCAAAAUCAAACUAAAGAUCAAACUAAAGCUGAUAAAGAUGUAGUACUUGNNNNNNNNNNNNNNNNNNNNUGUGUAUUAAGAGAUUAGGGGUGUGUAUUUAAAAUUUCUCUAUUAAUUUUUGAGUGAUCAUCGAUGCAUAUAGUUGAGUUUGCAAUUACUCUUAAUAGUUGACCUUCUAUUCCAUUAAAAAAAACCUUGACCUUUUUUCUUUUUCGGGGUUGACAACUUGACAUACUUCACAAGCAUAUACAUGCCACACAUUCGGGAGGAGCAACUCAAAGACGUUUACAUUUAGUUUGUUAAUGUAUUAAUUCAUGGAGAAAUUUUAAAUACACACCCUUAAUAUCUUAAUACACACCCCUUACUUAAUACACUACCUAUUAAGUUUUUCAUUUCAGUAUUAUACUUAAUACACAUCCCAAACUGUCUAAAAUGCCCUUAAUUUAUGAAAUAUUCCGUUAUUUAAUAUAAUUAAUAUAUAUUUACUAUUUGGUACCUCUUUUUACAUAUUAUUUCGUCUAAUUUUUGCUAGAAAUUUUUGGUUAUCAUCGUUCAAUUUAUAAUCAAAUGAUUAUUGUUAUAUCUCAACUCUAAAUCAUCAAUACAGGUUUUCAAAAUUCACAAGAGCACAACUGUAGAAGUACAGUAGCUAUUAAACAUAGAUAGCUAGUUAUUCGAUAAAACAUGUCAUGAUAAAGAUGCAGUAUUUGACAAUAUGAUAUGCAAAAUCAAACUAAAGAUCAAACUAAAGCUGAUAAAGAUGUAGUACUUGACAAUAUGAUCUAUAAGAUCAAAUUAAAGCUGAUACGGAUACAAAAAAAAAAAAAGAANNNNNNNNNNNNNNNNNNNNNNNNNNNNNNNNNNNNNNNNNNNNNNNNNNNNNNNNNNNNNNNNNNNNNNNNNNNNNNNNNNNNNNNNNNNNNNNNNNNNNNNNNNNNNNNNNNNNNNNNNNNNNNNNNNNNNNNNNNNNNNNNNNNNNNNNNNNNNNNNNNNNNNNNNNNNNNNNNNNNNNNNNNNNNNNNNNNNNNNNNNNNNNNNNNNNNNNNNNNNGAUCUUACAGAUCAUAUUGUCAAGUACUACAUCUUUAUCAGCUUUAGUUUGAUCUUUAGUUUGAUUUUGCAUAUCAUAUUGUCAAAUACUGCAUCUUUAUCAUGACAUGUUUUAUCGAAUAACUAGCUAUCUAUGUUUAAUAGCUACUGUACUUCUACAGUUGUGCUCUUGUGAAUUUUGAAAACCUGUAUUGAUGAUUUAGAGUUGAGAUAUAACAAUAAUCAUUUGAUUAUAAAUUGAACGAUGAUAACCAAAAAUUUCUAGCAAAAAUUAGACGAAAUAAUAUGUAAAAAGAGGUACCAAAUAGUAAAUAUAUAUUAAUUAUAUUAAAUAACGGAAUAUUUCAUAAAUUAAGGGCAUUUUAGACAGUUUGGGAUGUGUAUUAAGUAUAAUACUGAAAUGAAAAACUUAAUAAGUAGUGUAUUAAGUAAAGAGUGUAUAUUAAGAUAUUAAAGGUGUGUAUUUAAAAUUUCUCAACCGUUAAAGAUGGUCCUACCAACCAUUUUGUUCUUCAUACUUUCCCAUCAUUCUGCACGUAUUUUUAUAAAUUUAAAGUUUACAGAUUUAGUUACAAUAUGGAGAACUCGUCCAGCUGAAAAGAUGCAUGCAUGACCAUCUGACAAGUGUCCCCGGUGAUCACAGGAAAGCAUAAAGCAAAUGAAAUAUGUCUUAAUACGUGUGAUGCAAUGACUCCAAGCAACAAGUCAACAAAAUAAUCUUCUAGAAACACUAGAGGAGGGAACCCAGAAAGAAAGGUCAACCAGAAGAAAAGAAUAGGUCUUACCCCCUAUAUAAAAAACAAAGCUUCUAGAAGAAAAGGUUGCCACUACUAGUAGCAUUGUGAUGGCACGGGUGUGACUGAGUGGGGGAUUGAAAGGAGACAAUUAUUAAUGGGCAGUGACAACAUGUCGACAUCCAUCCAUCCAUCCAUUUUCGUUGGAUGCGGGCUUGGUGUCUGCUACGCAAUAAUUCUCGGGAUUCCCAUCACUACCCCCACCUUCGUCUUCCGCUACUAACAUACUUUUCUUCCUCACGAUAUUACAAGUUUACAACAAUCAUUCUUCAUAUUAUUUUCUAAAUAGAAAUAAUAAUUGAGAAUUAAUAAAAAGGAGCAUCUUUACUCGGUCAUUUCUUAAGUCAAAUUUUACUAAAAAUAAUUUUACUUUUUUUUUUCUUUUUAGAGAAAGAGAUGUUACUCCCGCGAAAUAACUCAUUCAUUAAUACGAUUUUAUAAGAUCAAACUAAAAGGUCAUAAGUGACCCUCAUUUACAUUCACUACUCGAUUGACUGUACGAAUACUCAAAUAAUCACCCUAGACCAUCUUUCACCAUAGGCUUAAGUACUCAAAUUUAGCCUAUAAUUACUCUCAUCAUAAGCCAAAUUACAAUUUUCAAAGUAAAAAAUUUAGCUUAAGCUAUUUUGUAAGCCAAAUUUAACUUAUGGAGUUGGUAGGCUAAAAUUAAGUAUUAUUUUAUUCAACUUUAGAUUUUGUUCUUCUAAUUUACACUAACAUCUAAUUUAAAAAUUCGUUACUAACAAAAUUUUAUACCAUCAUGACGAUCUCAACGAGAUCUUUCAUAUGUGCCCCAUAUAGAAUGUAUUCAUAUAAAAGCUUUUUCAUGAUUACUUAUUGAAUUAAACAAAUAAAUGAUAAAUUAAAAAGAAAUGGCUUUACCUAAGGAUUUACUUUACGGUGGGAAUGCUUCUUAGACCAAAAUACUAUUCAUUUAUCUAAAGAUUUAGCUUAUGGUAGGAGAAUUUGAUAAGUUAAAAAUAGAUUAUAUAGAAUAUUCUUAUUUUGUAAGCUAAAUUUACAAAAAAUAAAAUAAAAUAAAAAAAUAAUCUUUUAACGGAAACUAGAGUCCAAAAAGGUGGACAAUCAACAAAAAAAAAACCAAAAGACAUGUUGCAAUAUGCGGAGGCAUCAACCACUAUGACUGUUGCCUUCAUUGGUUACGAAAGGACGUGCAACAACAAGAUAAAAUAAACUUGCUAAUUAAUUUCUGUAACAAAUACUAGAUACAAACGGUGUAUAUACCUUGUAGGUUGAAAAUUCUUCUACGUAAUAAGGUGUAAGUGAAUCGAGCAACUAAUAUGUAAUAUUUUGAUCCGGUCAUCCAUGUCGUAUUAUCAUGCAUGUAUUUUAAUACCGUUCACAAAAUUAAAACCCAAAACACAUGAGGUGAGAACCUGAGGUCGAAUAAAAAGUACUUUUAUUAUGAGCGCUUAAUUUGAUCGGAUUAAAAAUGAAAACAAAAAUAAUAAAUUUUAGAGUCUCUAGUCUUCACUGGAUCUUCGCAUGCGGACGAUUUGAAGACUUGCACAUUAAUAAUGUAAGUGUACCUUGUAUUCGCUCGGUUAGUAGACCACAAGAUUACAUGUCUUUUCCCUUGGCGUUAGGCCUAGUCAACUCAUUAGCAGCCUUCUUAACAGAAGUCACAUCUAACAGACUCGGUUAUGGCCUAGAAAUCACUCCAUUGAGCCCAUAAGAUUCUGGCGUAAACCACGAGUCGCCCGAUCCCAGCCUCCCGAUUGAUAUAUACACUGUAGCGUAGAUCAAACGCAUGUCAAUUUCGAAGAAGUUAAGCAGUUAAGAGUAUGAUCCGACAAACAAAUAAUGCAGACUAGUUUAUGAUUUAAGGCCGGAGCACUGCAGCUGUAACUUGCAACAUACACAUAAACUAAAACUGGGUCUUGAUCGAGUCGGUCUCUAUUUUACGUUAUCCAUCUAAACGCACGCAUCAACUUGCAUCUUCAAUCAAAGCCAUCUCUAUACAUUGGGACAUAUUCUCUGUACCUAUCAUCCUUCUGAAACUCACCACCACUUCACAUUCCUAUGUGGAUCAAAUUGACCUCUUACAUUUCUCUUCCUUGCAAUCAAACUCAUGAGAAAUUAUAUUACUUUAGUAUAUAGCAAACGAUUAAUUAAUUAUGCAUUUCAUAAAAUACUAGUAGUGUCCGCUUGUUAUUUGUUCAUAACUUGAAUAUAAUUAAGCUUCUAGAAACCCUUCGCCAUACUCCAUUAUAUAAUUCAGAGUGCUAACUAGCUAGCUGAAAGUCUGAAACGAUGGAAUACAAAGUCUGAAAACGACUCACUCCCUUCCUUUUUUUGGUAGACUCCGGAGUAAUAUAUAUGGUAGAAUUAUUAUUGAGAGAUUCAAAUUCAACAUAGAGAGAAAGAGUACUGAGAUGAUCAUUUUGAACCUGAUUAGCUUAUAUCGUGAAGAGAAUAAGUUGCAGGGUAACUAAAUUACUGUUUGACUUCUCGAAACUUACAAUGACGUCUUAGACAUAUAAAGUGUCAAACACUGAUUGUACUUUUUAUUUUGGGACUAAGUAUUGCUUGAGAUGUUUUCUU
RNAcentral lists this long non-coding RNA (10902 nucleotides) under Fragaria vesca (wild strawberry). Its description in RNAcentral is "long non-coding RNA (FVES_LNC002979)". Lineage: Eukaryota; Viridiplantae; Streptophyta; Magnoliopsida; Rosales; Rosaceae. The record is from RNAcentral.